RNAcentral lists this ribosomal RNA (110 nucleotides) under Segatella copri. Lineage: Bacteria; Pseudomonadati; Bacteroidota; Bacteroidia; Bacteroidales; Prevotellaceae. The record is from RNAcentral.
UCAGGUGGUUAUUGCGGUGAGGUCCCACCUCUUCCCAUUCCGAACAGAAGUUAAGCUCACUUGCGCCGAUGGUACUGCAAUGCAAUGCGGAGAGUAGGUAGCCGCCUCCU